UCAUAUACUUCCGCGUACGAUGGCCAAAC
RNAcentral lists this small RNA (29 nucleotides) under Bombyx mori (domestic silkworm). RNAcentral's name for it is "ovarian small RNA-860". The record is from RNAcentral. Lineage: Eukaryota; Metazoa; Arthropoda; Insecta; Lepidoptera; Bombycidae.